RNAcentral lists this ribosomal RNA (477 nucleotides) under uncultured bacterium. Its description in RNAcentral is "partial 16S ribosomal RNA". It matches the Rfam family "Bacterial small subunit ribosomal RNA", at positions 28 to 506 of the family's 1533-position model. The record is from RNAcentral.
GACGAACGCUGGCGGCGUGCUUAACACAUGCAAGUCGAACGGGAUUUAGUAAACAGAAACCUCGGUGGAAGAUUACUAAUGAGAGUGGCGAACGGGUGAGUAACGCGUGAGCAACCUGCCUAUGACAGUGGGAUAGCCUCGGGAAACCGGGAUUAAUACCGCAUAAAAUCGUAGAAACACAUGUUUUAACGGUCAAAGAUUUAUCGGUCAUAGAUGGGCUCGCGUCUGAUUAGCUAGUUGGUGAGAUAACAGCCCACCAAGGCGACGAUCAGUAGCCGGUCUGAGAGGAUGAACGGCAACAUUGGAACUGAGACACGGUCCAAACUCCUACGGGAGGCAGCAGUGGGGAAUAUUGCACAAUGGGGGAAACCCUGAUGCAGCGACGCCGCGUGAACGAAGAAGGUAUUCGUAUCGUAAAGUUCUGUCCUAUGGGAAGAUAAUGACAGUACCAUAGAAGAAAGCUCCGGCUAAAUACGU